RNAcentral lists this long non-coding RNA (2889 nucleotides) under Gossypium barbadense (sea-island cotton). Its description in RNAcentral is "long non-coding RNA (GBAR_LNC021079)". Lineage: Eukaryota; Viridiplantae; Streptophyta; Magnoliopsida; Malvales; Malvaceae. The record is from RNAcentral.
CUGCAAUGCACUUACAACAUGGGCACCUCACUUGGUCUACCAAUAUGCCAAAAUCCACCUCCAAUAUAUCUUUCUGCAAACCUUCACACUCUUAACACAUGGAGCUCAGCAUACCCAAUCACCACUCCACUUUUUCCUGCCAUUGACAUCGUUUCGUUCAAAACCAGUUCCCUUCAAAUUAGAAAAUUCCUUUUGAUUCUCACCUCAAUAAGAUAAAGUGCGGUCUGCAUCUUUCCAUCCGAUUUCCCCAGCCUCCUCUUUGAAAAAUUUCACAGCCGUGACCUUAAUGUUCCCACAAUCCAGAUUAAUGGUUUCAUUCAUCACCAUUCCUUCAUUCCUUAUGAUCAAUGAUUUUCCGUUGCUAAAGUCUUUCUUGUACAAGGUGAAUGCAUCCAGAAAAAAAGUUGUUGGGACUUCAACUGCCUUUGGUUUAUUUGUUACCAAAUAUGUUCGAACAUCACUUUGGACAACAAGUUGGAACAAUGAAAAUACAGUGAAUUUUGUUGGCAUGUGUAAUUUGUUUAAUCUUGGUUUGUUUCCUAUAAGCAAAUUAUCUCUCGUUUGUGUUGAAAUUGAUUUUAUUUUUGCGAGAGGAUUUAUUUUCACAUGGGAGAAGGAGGAGUGGUUAAUUUGCAGCAAACUUUAUCCUUAUAUUAAAGUCUUUAACUUAGUCUUACUUGGUACUAAAGUUUAUUUAAAUUUUCCUAAGGCUAACAUCCGAAUUCUAAAGUGUGAGAGCUUGUUUCAUAAUUUCCAAGCCUAUUUGCUAUGUAUGGUGGCACUCAUGUAUUCAUCCAUUCUUUGGAGAAUAAACAUUAUUUGUACGUGAGGUGUUUAGGGUUAGUGAUUAUAAUAAUUGGAGUUCUUUGUUGGGUUGCAAUUAUCCCAAGUUGUAAGGGUAGAUUAGGUUGUAGCAAACAAGGUUUCGGAUCAAUUAUUAAAUAAAAUCCUUUACCGAGCAAGGCUUUACAAGGUAGGAUUGUUAUUCAAACAAUAUUAACAAACCGCGUGUGCUAUUUUUAUUUCUUUACCUUGCUUUUUUAUAAUUUAUUUGUUAACUUGCUUAGUUUCAAUAUGUGUUGGAACACCAAUUGGGAUAACCAAUUGGAACAUUUAGCAAAUCGAGAGCAUUUUCAAUUGGUAUCAGAGUAAACUUCAUACAUACAUGAAGGAGACCUUAUGUUCGGUUUGCAACCAUGAAGUCUAUGAAAGAAGGCAAUUUCAUUUCUCAAGCACUGUUACUUGUUGGCUCCUCAAUUUAUGCAUAUUGAAAAGCCUGUAUGAAGACUUUUAUUAUGCCUAUUGAUAAAGUUGUAGAAGAUGCUAUUCGGGUAUAAUACAAGGACUUCUAUUAAACUUUUAUUUUCUUAAACCCAAAAAGGUGAUGUGAAUCCCAUGACUCUAGAGGUCAAGGGUAGGAAUGUAACAGCUCACCUAGCGGAGUCUCUGUAUUCGAUUAUUGUUUGGAAAAUAGAUGGUAAAUGAAGGAUAGAUUUGAGUAAGUAAAGUAUUUUCCCUAGCUAAGUAGAGUAUUCUGAGCGAUUCACCAUUUGGAGAACUUCUAGUUUUGGCGAGCUCUAGGGUUUGAUGGGCUCUUCUGUUAAGUAUCUGCCCACCAAAGAUGCUUUGGGCGUACUCGUUAAGUUCUUAGUUGUUUAGAUUUGUUGGUUAUGUUAGUGCAUGAUGAUUUGGUUAGUAAUCUUCCUCAGUAAUGUAUGAAUGGUGUAUGUGUGGGUAAUGGUUGUCCAAUGUAAUCAGUUCGAGUUUAGUCUGUCUGUGUUAUGAAGUAAACACCAUCCUUCUUGCCAAACCAGUACCAUUUGUUUUUGAUAUGUGAGAUCUGAUCUAUGGUGAUGGAGAAGGGGAAAUAUGUUUGUAAAGCCUCUGAUAGUGCAACUAUAUUGGAAACCAGACUGGCAAAUCAUUAUAAAACAUGCUAUUCUAAAUGAAAGUGAUAUGAGGAGUUAAAGGGGAGUAUGUAUAUGAAUGAGACUGUAUGAUCCACUUCUGGAUCUGAAUUUUGGAUACGUGGUUGGCAUAAGGAUGGGUUGUCUAAGUUGUGUUAAGUUGGCAUACAAUAUCUGCCUAUGUGUUAUGUAAGUUGGCAUAUUAAGUCUGUUUGUGUUCUAUAAACACCAGUGGGCGUAUUAUGAUUAUCCUGUGUAAACCUAUAUGAAAGAUUUGGUAUUAUCCCAAGUAAUGAUGUGUAUGAAUUCUGUUUAUGUUUUGUAACUUACUAAGCUCGUAUGAACAGUCUCUAUCAUCUUUUCCUUCUCAGGCUUGCUGACUGAGCGAAGGUUUUUUGUUGAAGGGACUAUGCUAAAGAACUGUUGCUAUUGUGAGUUGUUUGUUUUGUCCCGUAUCAUGCAUGACUUCUUGGGGUGGUGUGUAAAUGUACUUUUAAAAAUGAUUUGUAUAACGAACUACUAUUUUGACGAAACAUUGUUUUUAUGAGAACCUUAUCAAAUUUCAAUGCUUGGAUUUGAACUAUUAUAUCUCAUUCAAUGAAGUUUAUUUAUUCGCCAAAUGGUUUGAACAUUAUAUUGAACUACCAAUGAUGUACAUUUAAACUUUUGCAAAAUAAUAGCUAUCAUAUGUUUUGUACUUACAACUUUGUAAAAAUUUUAUAAAGUUUCCACUGUAUGAUUUGCUUAUAAAUUGUCUGAUUUAGGUUAUGACACAUCAUACUUGGAGCAAAUUAUUACGACGGGUUUGGCGUGUUACAAGAAAGCAAAAAGAUGUAAAAGGAAACCCAAAUUUGGUGUAAGAUUAUGUGGCUCUAACAUUCUAAUCAUUUAUUUGUUAUUAGUGUUUUGUUUUUUGAGGACCAAAAUAGAAUGGUGGAAGAAAGAGCUACAGUGUUACAGUUCAAGUUUUUGCUUGUUAGAG